UUUCCUAUGGUGCAACGGUAGCACGUCCGGUUUUGGUCCGGAAGAUUGUGGUUCAAAUCCAUGUAGGAAAA
Molecule: transfer RNA, 71 nt
Organism: Mucilaginibacter paludis DSM 18603
Lineage: Bacteria; Pseudomonadati; Bacteroidota; Sphingobacteriia; Sphingobacteriales; Sphingobacteriaceae
Rfam family: tRNA
About the family: Transfer RNA (tRNA) molecules are approximately 80 nucleotides in length. Their secondary structure includes four short double-helical elements and three loops (D, anti-codon, and T loops).
Source: Rfam